This is a long non-coding RNA of Camelus dromedarius (Arabian camel), 1523 nucleotides long. RefSeq lists it as uncharacterized. The record is from RefSeq and is a predicted model, not a curated record. The transcript has 3 exons. NCBI's taxonomy places the organism in Eukaryota, Metazoa, Chordata, Mammalia, Artiodactyla, Camelidae.
UUUUCUUCACUCCAGAUGCACUGGUUACUAAUUUAAGUUGCAAACACCACAAACAGAUCCUGGCUAACUUAAGUUCAUUGGAAAGGUAUCUCUGGUACCACAGAGAAUGGAAGGAAAACACAAUGAGCCAGACUGCAAAAAAGUAGGCAUGCACCAACAAAACUAAGUGAAAAAAAAAGAAAAGAAAAGAAAAGAAAACUAAGUGACAGUGGUAUUAUAGGAACGUUCUGUUUAGAAUGACCCAGCUGGUUCUAAUAUCAACAGGAAUGUGACACUACUUUCUGAGUGGUAUGCCUGAUGUUAGAUCUCAGCGUGUCAUCUACUAACCACAACAAAACAACAACAACAAAAACUCUUACGACUUAGGCUGGGAUUUACACCAUCAGUCACCCUGGUUCUCAAGCCUUCAGACUCAGACUGGAUUACACCACUGGCUUUCCUGGGUCUUCAGCUUCUCAUGGAACUUCUCAGCCUCCAUAAUCACAUUAGCGAAUUCCUCAGAAUUAAUUUCCUUUAAUGGCUAUAGAUUUAUAUUUACACCUAUGUCUAUAUUAUAUAAUAUAUGGAUGUCACUAUCCUACUGCUUCAGUCUCUGGAGAACCCUAAUACAGGAAAGAACUUCAAGUGUCCACAGUUUCUACCUAGAAAGUCUUUCAGGAAGUUACACUUUCCAUUGAGAAUAGUCCUUAGGCCAAAAGAAGGGGAUAUUCUGAAGCCAAAUCUAUGUUCAGAAAAGACAUUGGAUGAAUGUAUAAAACUAGAAAUAAAUAUAAAAUGAGAACUAAUGUAAAGCAAAUAGCAUUAUUCAACUUGCAGUAUCCCCAGUGAUGCAUGAAAUUUCAUAUUUUUUCUUAUAUUCCAGUUGCCUUUCAAAAGUAGUAUUAAUAUGACCAUUUUAAGAGUGAGGUAAUUUAGGCCCACUGACACACACCUUAGGUUACACAUUAAUGAGAGACCUGGCUGUUACUCAACUUAAGACCAUUUUAUUCCAAUGCUUUUACUCUUGCUGCAUGAAAGAAAGCAGGCAGAAAAGAGUUCAAAUUGUAUAAUUCUGUUUUGUAUUAAUUUUUUUAUAAAAUUCAAACUAAUGAAUAUAUAAUGAAAACAAAAACAAAAACAAAAAAACCAGAUCUGGAAACCAGGGGUAAAAAGAGGAAUUGACUGUUAAGGAGCACAAGGAAACUUCUGAGGGUGAUGAAAAUGCUUUUAUCCUGAUUGUGGUGAUGGUCUCAUGGGUGUAUAUAUGUGUCAAAACUCAUCAAAUUGUACACUUUAAAUGCACAUAAUUGUUUACCUAAUGGUAAAAAUUAGGCUUAAUAAAACAAGUUUUUAUUAGUUAUAAAAAUAAGACUCUUGUGCAUAAUGAACACACAAAAUAGUAUAAAGAAAAUAAAAUUAUCCAGAAGUAAUCUCUAUUUUAGUUUUCCUUUAUACCUUUCUGCUAAAUAUGAAUAUGUGUGAUUAUCUGUAUCAAUUAAAACUUUUACUAAAUAUACACUUAAUCUAAUAAUAAACUUAAUGUU